RNAcentral lists this long non-coding RNA (219 nucleotides) under Elaeis guineensis (African oil palm). RNAcentral's name for it is "long non-coding RNA (EGUI_LNC015311)". The record is from RNAcentral. Lineage: Eukaryota; Viridiplantae; Streptophyta; Magnoliopsida; Arecales; Arecaceae.
UAGUGAAAGCAACUAUGGGUUAACCAAUUUUUGAUCAAUUGAUUAAUUGGUGUCUAGAAAAGUGCUAAAGGUGGUUCUUUAAUUGGUUCUGUUGACUGAUCUGAUCAAUUUAUUGGUGUCUAAGGAAAGCAACGGGGGCCUCCACCUACUUAUCUGGCCAAUUUGAUUGAGCGAUCUUGAAACUAAAAAAAUGCUAAUGUUGAAAAUACUACUAGGGGC